Molecule: ribosomal RNA, 680 nt
Filed under: Staphylococcus aureus
Lineage: Bacteria; Bacillati; Bacillota; Bacilli; Caryophanales; Staphylococcaceae
Description: partial 23S ribosomal RNA
Rfam family: Bacterial large subunit ribosomal RNA
Source: RNAcentral
CACUGCCGAGAAAAGCCUCUAGAUAGAAAAUAGGUGCCCGUACCGCAAACCGACACAGGUAGUCAAGAUGAGAAUUCUAAGGUGAGCGAGCGAACUCUCGUUAAGGAACUCGGCAAAAUGACCCCGUAACUUCGGGAGAAGGGGUGCUCUUUAGGGUUAACGCCCAGAAGAGCCGCAGUGAAUAGGCCCAAGCGACUGUUUAUCAAAAACACAGGUCUCUGCUAAACCGUAAGGUGAUGUAUAGGGGCUGACGCCUGCCCGGUGCUGGAAGGUUAAGAGGAGUGGUUAGCUUCUGCGAAGCUACGAAUCGAAGCCCCAGUAAACGGCGGCCGUAACUAUAACGGUCCUAAGGUAGCGAAAUUCCUUGUCGGGUAAGUUCCGACCCGCACGAAAGGCGUAACGAUUUGGGCACUGUCUCAACGAGAGACUCGGUGAAAUCAUAGUACCUGUGAAGAUGCAGGUUACCCGCGACAGGACGGAAAGACCCCGUGGAGCUUUACUGUAGCCUGAUAUUGAAAUUCGGCACAGCUUGUACAGGAUAGGUAGGAGCCUUUGAAACGUGAGCGCUAGCUUACGUGGAGGCGCUGGUGGGAUACUACCCUAGCUGUGUUGGCUUUCUAACCCGCACCACUUAUCGUGGUGGGAGACAGUGUCAGGCGGGCAGUUUGACUGGGGCGGUC